Mauremys reevesii (Reeves's turtle) is the source of this 399-nucleotide long non-coding RNA. RefSeq lists it as uncharacterized. The record is from RefSeq and is a predicted model, not a curated record. The transcript is spliced from 3 exons. Lineage: Eukaryota; Metazoa; Chordata; Testudines; Geoemydidae.
GAGCAGAAGGGGGCUGAAGAGAAACUCUGCAGUUGUUCUGUGGGACUACAGAGGUUGUGUGGGGAAAGCCCAGGCAGAAGGCUGGCCAGCUCUGGAAUCCUCUCCUGAGAGGAAGUCUAGCAAGAGGAGACAGCAGAGAGACAGACAAAGCAGCCACUUGGAGCAGAGUGAGCUCCAGUUAAAGGUGGGGACUGGACAUGACCUGGCUGGAGGGCAGAGUCACAACAAAAAGCAGACCACUGCGGGGCCAGAGCAGCUGUUGGAAGGGUGCUAGGGAAGGAGGGCUUGAUCUGCCAUGAUGGGACAUGCUAGCCAGCAAGACUCCCACUAGCUUCAUCAAGAAUUUGCCUGCCGAGUGAAAACUAACAACCUGUGGGCGGUUGCAUCUGUGCUGUGGAU